ACAUGGCUGGCGUCACACUGUAUCCAUAAGUGUUUUCCAAAGUCUGGAUAAGCUAAUACCGGCGCACAGGCAGUCCGUGAGCGGCGCACUUACACCGGAGAAAUUUUGAAUGAAUCUGCGAUACCAGCCUGCGGUUCCUAAGAAGCUGCGUAGUUGUCGCGUAUUUUUGGGCACCUCUAUCUUCAUAAUCGCCUCAACUUUCUUCGGAUCCUUACGCAAGGCCCUAUCACCGAUUAUGAAUCCUAAAUAUCGCAAGUAUUUAAAACAAAAUUUUGACUUGUGUAGCCCGAUCGUCAAAUUUGCUUUAUUCAAACACUCUGCCACUUCUUUCAGCAACAUGCAGUGUUCUUCGAAAGUCUUGGAUAUUAUCAGCAAGUCAUCCAAGUAUACAAAGACGCGGCUGCGAAGACGCUGUGGGAUUACCUUGUCCAUUACCCUACACAACCUUUGAGCCGAAUUACAUAAUCCGAAUGGCAUCCGUCGAAACUGAUAAAGUGGCCUUCCAGAACGCAUGUUUCAAA
This is a non-coding RNA of Drosophila suzukii, 521 nucleotides long. NCBI's taxonomy places the organism in Eukaryota, Metazoa, Arthropoda, Insecta, Diptera, Drosophilidae. The record is from RefSeq and is a predicted model, not a curated record.